AAUUCCAGGUGUAGCAUGAAUAUGUGAGAGAGGUGCAGGAAUACCGAUGGCGACGGCACCCCCCGGGGAUAAUGUUGAUGCUCAGACACGAGAGCGGGGGGAGCAAAACAGGAUCAGAUACCGUGGUAGUCCACGCCCUAAACGAUGUCAACUAGCUGUGGGGGCCGUUAGGCGUUCGUAGCGCAGCUAACGAGUGAAGCUGACCGCGGGGGGAGUACGGUCGCAAGAUUAAAACUCAAAGGAAUGGGCGGGCACCCGCACGAGCGGUGGUUGAUGUGGAUUAAUUCGAUGCAACGGGAAAAACCUUACCUACCCUUGACAUGUCAGGAAAGCCGAAGAGAUUUGGCCGUGCUCGCAAGAGAACCGGAACACAGCUGGUGCAUGGCCGUCGUCAGCUCGUGUCGUGAGAUGUUGGGUUAAGUCCCGCAACGAGCGCAACCCUUGUCAUUAGGUGGUACGCAAGAGCACUCUAAUGAGACUGCCGGUGACAAACCGGAGGAAGGUGGGGAUGACGUCAAGUCCUCAUGGCCCUUAUGGGUAGGGCUUCACACGUCAUACAAUGGUCGGGACAGAGGGUAGCCAACCCGCGAGGGGGAGCCAAUCUCAGAAACCCCAUCGUAGUCCGGAUCGCAGUCUGCAACUUGACUGCGUGAAGUGGGAAUCGCUAGUAAUCGCGGAUCAGAAUGUCGCGGUGAAUACGUUCCCGGGUUCUUGUACACACCGCCCGUCACACCCUGGGACUCCUACACCACAAGCUAGGUAGCCUAACCGU
RNAcentral lists this ribosomal RNA (772 nucleotides) under Alcaligenes faecalis. Its description in RNAcentral is "bacterial SSU rRNA". It matches the Rfam family "Bacterial small subunit ribosomal RNA", at positions 665 to 1442 of the family's 1533-position model. The record is from RNAcentral. Lineage: Bacteria; Pseudomonadati; Pseudomonadota; Betaproteobacteria; Burkholderiales; Alcaligenaceae.